GUUGAUAAAUCUGUAAAUUUCUUUCUGCGCUUAUGUUGUCGGUGCACUCCAGCAAGACAGAAUGACGAAGCUAGCAUCAGCAUUGUACUUCAUAGCUGUUGUAUGCAUGGGUCUUCACACAGUUUAUAUUUCAUUUGCUUGCUUUACCACCUUGGACAAUUAUUCACGUCUUUAUCAUUGCAAGCUCGCCGUUCGUCUCGCUUCGAUGAAAAGGCACGGCUACCUUUCAAGAUGGCGCAGGGUACAUUGUAAUCUUCGUGAGUUCUUUAAUAGACAAUUCCACGUUUGUUUGUUGUUUUUUUUUUUAACUUUUUACAUGGACUAGUUAGCAAAAAUCCAUCGAUAAUGCUGGGAAAAACCUCAAAAUUAGUAAAAAAAAAAAUUUCGAGGAACGAAGAGAAUGGAACCUUUUGCACAAGAACGCUUAAAGAUGGCAGAAAUCUGAGCCAGACAAUGUUUUGUUUUCUUCAAAAACAAAAACUUCAAAACUGAAGUGUCACCUUUGGUUCUCUAUAACAUAUCAUUUUCGUAAGUUUUUGUGAUUGACAGCUCAAGCACUUCAGUGCUAUCAAUGCGACAGUGACAUAGCAUUGGUCAAUUGUACCAAGGUCCAGAAAGUGGUGACAUGUGACAGCAAUGUUCAUGAAUGCUGUACUGUUACUGAAACAGGCAAAUUCAUCUCUGGUUUGAAGUACAAAUACUUCGAAAAGGGCUGUAAAGGACGAAAACACAAGACACCUGAUAAUCUCUUUUCACACAGCGUUAGCACACAAUGUCGUGGGCAAUCACUUCGUAACGCUAGUCAAAUCAGCCAAGCAAGCUUUGUUCUCGUUUUCUGCCUGAUUCUGGUCUCAAAGAUGAUUGCAACCUAGUCCUAAAUAUCCAUGCUUUUGAAAGAUCAAAGGAUGGAUCAAUAGUAGUAAUAGGAAAGGCAGAUUAGGUACAUUUUUCUACUUGUUAUUGAUCAGGUGAACAAACCUACACUGUACAUGACAUAAAAACACUGUCCUUCAUGUGCUAUCAA
This is an unclassified non-coding RNA of Actinia tenebrosa (Australian red waratah sea anemone), 1024 nucleotides long. The record is from RefSeq and is a predicted model, not a curated record. NCBI's taxonomy places the organism in Eukaryota, Metazoa, Cnidaria, Anthozoa, Actiniaria, Actiniidae.